Molecule: ribosomal RNA, 349 nt
Filed under: Paraburkholderia tropica
Lineage: Bacteria; Pseudomonadati; Pseudomonadota; Betaproteobacteria; Burkholderiales; Burkholderiaceae
Description: bacterial SSU rRNA
Rfam family: Bacterial small subunit ribosomal RNA
Source: RNAcentral
AAACUGAAGAGUUUGAUCCUGGCUCAGAUUGAACGCUGGCGGCAUGCCUUACACAUGCAAGUCGAACGGCAGCACGGGUGCUUGCACCUGGUGGCGAGUGGCGAACGGGUGAGUAAUACAUCGGAACGUGUCCUGUAGUGGGGGAUAGCCCGGCGAAAGCCGGAUUAAUACCGCAUACGAUCUACGGAUGAAAGCGGGGGAUCUUCGGACCUCGCGCUAUAGGGGCGGCCGAUGGCGGAUUAGCUAGUUGGUGAGGUAAAGGCUCACCAAGGCGACGAUCCGUAGCUGGUCUGAGAGGACGACCAGCCACACUGGGACUGAGACACGGCCCAGACUCCUACGGGAGGCA